AUUGAACGCUGGCGGCAUGCCUUACACAUGCAAGUCGAACGGCAGCACGGGUGCUUGCACCUGGUGGCGAGUGGCGAACGGGUGAGUAAUACAUCGGAACAUGUCCUGUAGUGGGGGAUAGCCCGGCGAAAGCCGGAUUAAUACCGCAUACGAUCUACGGAUGAAAGCGGGGGACCUUCGGGCCUCGCGCUAUAGGGUUGGCCGAUGGCUGAUUAGCUAGUUGGUGGGGUAAAGGCCUACCAAGGCGACGAUCAGUAGCUGGUCUGAGAAGACGACCAGCCACACUGGGACUGAGACACGGCCCAGACUCCUACGGGAGGCAGCAGUGGGGAAUUUUGGACAAUGGGCGAAAGCCUGAUCCAGCAAUGCCGCGUGUGUGAAGAAGGCCUUCGGGUUGUAAAGCACUUUUGUCCGGAAAGAAAUCCUUGGCCCUAAUACGGUCGGGGGAUGACGGUACCGGAAGAAUAAGCACCGGCUAACUACGUG
Molecule: ribosomal RNA, 486 nt
Filed under: uncultured bacterium
Lineage: Bacteria
Description: partial 16S ribosomal RNA
Rfam family: Bacterial small subunit ribosomal RNA
Source: RNAcentral